Molecule: long non-coding RNA, 502 nt
Filed under: Olea europaea subsp. europaea
Lineage: Eukaryota; Viridiplantae; Streptophyta; Magnoliopsida; Lamiales; Oleaceae
Source: RNAcentral
AAAUUCAAUAUGGACUUUAAUUAAACGUGCUCCCACUGUUUAAAAUAAAUUCAUGACUCUCAUACAUAAAUUAUUUGAAUCCACAUUUGAUUCCCAGUGGGCUGGGAUCCCAUUCGUUGUAUCAAGAUCUUGAGUGUACUCAACAAAUUUUAAUAAAACAUUUGGGUAGAUAUUGUUAUCAAUUGUAUCUCCACACAACUUCCAGAUCAUUAAGCUGACAACUCUUUUGUCUUCACACAUCUUAUGUGUUAGCUUAACAUGCCUUUAAAAGUUAACUCCUUGAGUGUACUCAACAAAAGAUAAAUUUUAGUUAAGUCAAACCCAUCAUUCAGAAAUAUCAAAUAUUUCAUAGUAUCAAACAUAUCCCUAAUAGACCAGCCUUGAGUGUACUCAACAAGCUAAGGUCAAUUUAGGAUUCUCGGUUAUCACUAUAAUGAUGGAAGACAAAUAAUACUAACUUAAUAUUUUAAUGAGGGAUUUAACAUGCAAUGGUCUCAUCAAG